RNAcentral lists this ribosomal RNA (1412 nucleotides) under Lactiplantibacillus plantarum. RNAcentral's name for it is "bacterial SSU rRNA". It matches the Rfam family "Bacterial small subunit ribosomal RNA", at positions 61 to 1439 of the family's 1533-position model. The record is from RNAcentral. RNAcentral also lists the same sequence under 1 other name. Lineage: Bacteria; Bacillati; Bacillota; Bacilli; Lactobacillales; Lactobacillaceae.
GUCGAACGAACUCUGGUAUUGAUUGGUGCUUGCAUCAUGAUUUACAUUUGAGUGAGUGGCGAACUGGUGAGUAACACGUGGGAAACCUGCCCAGAAGCGGGGGAUAACACCUGGAAACAGAUGCUAAUACCGCAUAACAACUUGGACCGCAUGGUCCGAGCUUGAAAGAUGGCUUCGGCUAUCACUUUUGGAUGGUCCCGCGGCGUAUUAGCUAGAUGGUGGGGUAACGGCUCACCAUGGCAAUGAUACGUAGCCGACCUGAGAGGGUAAUCGGCCACAUUGGGACUGAGACACGGCCCAAACUCCUACGGGAGGCAGCAGUAGGGAAUCUUCCACAAUGGACGAAAGUCUGAUGGAGCAACGCCGCGUGAGUGAAGAAGGGUUUCGGCUCGUAAAACUCUGUUGUUAAAGAAGAACAUAUCUGAGAGUAACUGUUCAGGUAUUGACGGUAUUUAACCAGAAAGCCACGGCUAACUACGUGCCAGCAGCCGCGGUAAUACGUAGGUGGCAAGCGUUGUCCGGAUUUAUUGGGCGUAAAGCGAGCGCAGGCGGUUUUUUAAGUCUGAUGUGAAAGCCUUCGGCUCAACCGAAGAAGUGCAUCGGAAACUGGGAAACUUGAGUGCAGAAGAGGACAGUGGAACUCCAUGUGUAGCGGUGAAAUGCGUAGAUAUAUGGAAGAACACCAGUGGCGAAGGCGGCUGUCUGGUCUGUAACUGACGCUGAGGCUCGAAAGUAUGGGUAGCAAACAGGAUUAGAUACCCUGGUAGUCCAUACCGUAAACGAUGAAUGCUAAGUGUUGGAGGGUUUCCGCCCUUCAGUGCUGCAGCUAACGCAUUAAGCAUUCCGCCUGGGGAGUACGGCCGCAAGGCUGAAACUCAAAGGAAUUGACGGGGGCCCGCACAAGCGGUGGAGCAUGUGGUUUAAUUCGAAGCUACGCGAAGAACCUUACCAGGUCUUGACAUACUAUGCAAAUCUAAGAGAUUAGACGUUCCCUUCGGGGACAUGGAUACAGGUGGUGCAUGGUUGUCGUCAGCUCGUGUCGUGAGAUGUUGGGUUAAGUCCCGCAACGAGCGCAACCCUUAUUAUCAGUUGCCAGCAUUAAGUUGGGCACUCUGGUGAGACUGCCGGUGACAAACCGGAGGAAGGUGGGGAUGACGUCAAAUCAUCAUGCCCCUUAUGACCUGGGCUACACACGUGCUACAAUGGAUGGUACAACGAGUUGCGAACUCGCGAGAGUAAGCUAAUCUCUUAAAGCCAUUCUCAGUUCGGAUUGUAGGCUGCAACUCGCCUACAUGAAGUCGGAAUCGCUAGUAAUCGCGGAUCAGCAUGCCGCGGUGAAUACGUUCCCGGGCCUUGUACACACCGCCCGUCACACCAUGAGAGUUUGUAACACCCAAAGUCGGUGGGGUAAC